ACGUCAAUGACCCGCGCAUAUGCCGGCUAGCAGGGUAGGGUGUGCUGCGCGGUGCCCUUCUGCUCUCUUGCCGGCAAUUACGACAGGCCAUUGGAUGUACGACAACGAGGUGGUGCCGGAAGGGCUGACAUCACCGUUCUGCCCGUGUGUGCAUGCGUGUACCCAAGGGGAGGGUGGAGCGGAGUUGCGUGCUGGACCGAGGGCGUUAUCCUGCCGAGGGUGUUAACGAUGAUUUACUUCAUUAAGUGCAUAGCUGUGGAUAUCAGGACAAGGUUAUGACUGAACUAGAGAGGAGAACAUCACCCAGAGCUCUUGGACUUGGAGCUGGAUGCAGGAACUGAUAAGACUCUGAAUUUCCCCUUUUGAGGAGUCUAGGUGGGCUAGGCUCCAAAGAUGGCUCCCAGUGAACCACAGCUCCUACUAUUAAUGCUCAUGUGUUCUUCCCACCUUCUUUUGUAUGGGCUGGCCUGUGACUUGUGUUAACCGCUCAAAUGCACCAGAAGUGAUGCUGUACCAAUUCUAGACCUGGUCUUUAGGAGGACUGGCCACUUCUAUUUUCUCCUUCUUGAAACAUUUGCUUUUGGGAGCUCUGAAUGACCAUGAAAUAAGUCUGACUACCUGACUAGAGAGAUGCUGUGGAAAGAUUGCAUGAAGAGGGAGAGAGACCCUGUUGUUACGAUGUCCCUGUUAUCUGAAGAGAUGACUCCAAUCCCACCUGUCAUCUGACUGCAACCACAUGAGAGGCCCUAGGUGAGAGCAGCAGAAGAACUGCCCAUAUGAUCUCAGUCAACCAACAGAAGCACAAGAGUCAUUCCAGUGCCAUCUACUGAUGAAGCUUAAAAUUCUGCCACCUACCAAAGGAGAAGCUUUUGCAGGAUCCAAGUCCAUUACCACAAAAUGCAGGGAAAAGAAGAGUGAAUUUAGAAUGGAGAACCAAUAAAUUGAUAAUUUGCACACCUUA
Long non-coding RNA from Neogale vison (American mink), 961 nucleotides. RefSeq lists it as uncharacterized. Lineage: Eukaryota; Metazoa; Chordata; Mammalia; Carnivora; Mustelidae. The transcript has 4 exons. The record is from RefSeq and is a predicted model, not a curated record.